RNAcentral lists this long non-coding RNA (2319 nucleotides) under Lactuca sativa (garden lettuce). Its description in RNAcentral is "long non-coding RNA (LSAT_LNC003951)". Lineage: Eukaryota; Viridiplantae; Streptophyta; Magnoliopsida; Asterales; Asteraceae. The record is from RNAcentral.
UCAAAAUCCCACCCAAAUUACCACUGUUAGAUAUUAUUCCUUUUAUAUAUCAGCUCAGAUACCGAUUGUUGUAAAUAUAAAAAUCUGAUCACCACAACAAAAGGCUCGGUUACCAGUUACUGUGUGACAGAUAUAUGAGUUAAAGGUAUAAGAUAUAUAUAUAUAUAUAUAUAUAUAUAUAUAUAUAUAUAUAUACAUAUAUAUANNNNNNNNNNNNNNNNNACAAAAGGCUCGGUUACCGGUCACUGUGUGAUAGAUAUAUAAGUUUAAGAUAUAAGAUGUAAAUAUAUAUAAAGAAUAAUAAUUGCAGAAUAAGUAUAAAUAUGAAAGCUAUAAAUGACUGAAAGCUAUAAUAAUAUAAAUGACUGUAUUUAAAUGACGUAAAGCUAUAAAUAAUAUAAAUGACUGUAUUUAAAUGACAUAAAGCUAUAAAUAAUAUAAAUGACUAUAUUUAAAUGACAUAAAGCUAUAAUAAAGUAUAUAAGUAUAUAAAUAUAUAUCAAGUAGGUUCGUCAAUAAAUUGACUGAACUGGACUCAUGGAACGAAUGGUCGAAAUUUGUUUUUUGAAUGGAUUGGUCGAUAUUGGGACUCUUGGAGCGACUGGUUGAUAUUUGUUCAAAGAUCAAUCCGGCAUUGGAUAAGUAACAAAAAAGUUCAUUUAAAGCUCGGUUUUAUGUAAAACAAGUGUUUACAAAAGGGUACAAAAUACAUGGGUUUAUGUAUUUGUAUUUGAGGUAUUUUUGGGUAAAAACAUGCACACGGGUCAUGUAAGAUAAGGCACAAGUGACACGGGUCGUGUAGGAGGGUUUUGGAGGGUUUUUUUGAUGAAUGAUGCUGACACGGGGCGUGUUGAUUUAGCCUUGCUGAACACGGGGGGUGUUCAUGAUGUUGAUGCUGACACGUGGCGUGUUGGUUUAGCCUUACUGAACACGGGGCGUGUUCAUGAUGCUGAUGCUGACACGGGGCGUGUCAGAUUUAGCCUUGGAUUUAACACGGGGCGUGUUGAGGUAUAGAAGCAUGAAAAAGACAAUCAGAGGGCAACACGGGGCGUGUUGAUUUUUCCUUGGCUUUAACACGGGGCGUGUUCGUGUCUGAGUCAAUUUCGGGAUUUUUGUGAUUUGAAGGUAAGUUUUGUUUGUGAUGUUUUUGGCUAGGGUAAUGGAGUUAUGGUGUUUUGAGGAUGUUUUCAAGGUUGUUUAGAGGUUGGAAGGAGUUUAAAAUAAGGUGGUAAAGGUGGUGGAAUUUCUAUGAAGAUGAUGAUGAAUAGUGAUGGGUUUUGUGGUUGAUCUUGAUGCAGAAGGUUUUGGGUUGUUUCAUGGUUGUGUUUUGGUGUUUUGAUGUAAGGAAAGUGUUUGGUGGUGUAUGAUGUGAUGAACAAAGGUGGUGAAGAUGAAAAACGUUUAGUUUCAAUGAAGAAGAUGAAGAUGGUUGAUGGUGUUCUUCAUUUCAUUGUUGAUGAUCUUGGUGUUCUUCACUUAGCUUCUUGUUUGAUCUUGGUGUUCUGCAUUUAGCUCCAGGGAUGAAGAUUGAGAGGGUGUAGUUUUACAAAGGAAAACUCACUAUAUCAUAUCUAUCUCUCUUACUCUCUUCUAUUAUCUCCAACUCAAACACACACUACAUACAUAUGUAUAUAUAUGAGAAACAAAUAUCUUGUAGUACAUUUGAGUGUUUGGAGAGUUGGCUGCAAGUUGAUGUAGAGUAGGAGGCAAAAAAACGUGGGAAGUGUUUGCUACUUCAUCUUUGACUUGUGUUGACUUCUUCUUUGUUUGACUAUUCAACACAUAUACAACAUAUAUAUAAUACAUAUAUACAUAUAUAAUACAUACAUAUGUAUAUAAUACAUACAUANNNNNNNNNNNNNNNNNNNNNNNNNNNNNNNNNNNNNNNNNNNNNNNNNNUAAUACAUACAUAUGUAUAUAAUACACACACACACACAUAUAUAUAUAUAUAUAUAUAUAUAUAUAUAUAUGUAUUGUUGAAAUUGUUUAGUCACACAUAUGUGUUUUCGUCAUUCGCGUGUUUUCGUAUUUUCCGUUUUAUCACGCAUUCAUGCAACCUGAAAUAACUGAUAAUAUUUGUUAGAUUGUAUAAAAACAGUUCAUCUUAUUUCAGUGAUGGUCACAUACAAGGUUACAUAAGAACAUUUUUCAACAAUUUCCCCCUAUGUGAUCAUUGCUGAAAUAAGGACAGGUAUGAUAUAAUCAUAUUGACAGUUUAACUUUUGAAGAUUCGAGAUAAAAGAUUUGUCAAUAGAUAAGAUAUAUAUAAAACCAUAGCAAUUGAUUUGAAAGUUUGUGACUUGGUUUAACAUAUCUUAU